AUCCUUCAAAUGCCUGACUUAUCAACUGUCGAUGGUAGACUCUAUGUCUACCAUGGUUGUAACGGGUAACGGGGAAUCAGGGUUCGAUUCCGGAGAGGGAGCCUGAGAAACGGCUACCACAUCCAAGGAAGGCAGCAGGCACGCAAAUUACCCACUCCCGGCACGGGGAGGUAGUGACAAAAAAUAACGAUACGGGACUCUUAUGAGGCCCCGUAAUCGGAAUGAGUACACUUUAAAUCCUUUAACAAGGAUCCAUUGAAGGGCAAGUCUGGUGCCAGCAGCCGCGGUAAUUCCAGCUUCAAUAGCGUAUAUUAAAGUUGUUGCGGUUAAAAAGCUCGUAGUUGGUUCUGCGUGCCACGCUGUCGGUUCGCCGCCUGCCGGUGUAACUGGCAUGCCGUGGCAUGUCCUGUCGGUGGCGUUCGGGACCUCGUCUAGUGCCGGCCCUUGCCAAAGCUUGGUGUUCGGAGGCCGGGGGUAUACCCGUUCGCCUACUCUAUCCUACCUAGGUGCUCUUCACCGAGUGUCGAGGUAGGCCGACACGUUUACUUUGAACAAAUUAGAGUGCUCAAAGCAGGCUGAAAUCUCUGCCUGAAUAGUGGUGCAUGGAAUAAUAAACAGGACCUUGGUUCUAUUUUGUUGGUCUUAGGAACACAAGGUAAUGAUCAAUACGGACAGGCGGGGGCAUUCGUAUUGCGACGUUAGAGGUGAAAUUCUUGGAUCGUCGCAAGACGCACAAGAGCGAAAGCAUUUGCCAAGUAUGUCUUGAUUGAUCAAGAACGAAAGUUAGAGGUUCGAAGGCGAUCAGAUACCGCCCUAGUUCUAACCAUAAACGAUGCCAGCCAGCGAUCCGCCGAUGUUCCUCCGAUGACUCGGCGGGGAGCUUCUUCCCGGGAAACCAAAGCUUUUGGGUUCCGGGGGAAGUAUGGUUGCAAAGCUGAAACUUAAAGGAAUUGACGGAAGGGCACCACCAGGAGUGGAGCCUGCGGCUUAAUUUGACUCAACACGGGAAACCUCACCAGGCCAGGACAUUGGAAGGAUUGACAGAUUGAUAGCUCUUUCUUGAUUCAGUGGGUAGUGGUGCAUGGCCGUUCUUAGUUGGUGGAUCGAUUUGUCUGGUUAAUUCCGAUAACGAACGAGACUCUAGCCUAUUAACUAGGCGUUUUCCGGUGCCCCCGUCACCGGCGACAAUCAUUCUUCUUAAGGGGACAGGCGGCUUUUAGCCGCACGAGAUUGAGCAAUAACAGGUCUGUGAUGCCCUUAGAUGUCCUGGGCCGCACGCGCGCUACACUGAAGGAAUCAGCGUGUGCCUCCCUGGCCGAAAGGCCCGGGUAAUCCGCUGAACCUCCUGCGUGCUAGGAAUUGGGGCUUGCAAUUGUUCCCCAUGAACGAGGAAUUCCCAGUAAGCGCGAGUCAUAAGCUCGCGUUGAUUACGUCCCUGCCCUUUGUACACACCGCCCGUCGCUACUACCGAUUGAAUGAUUUAGUGAGGUCUUCGGACUGGCGGUAAUCCCUACCGACUCGUCGGUAUCG
This 1530-nucleotide ribosomal RNA is filed under the name Neolygus tiliicola. RNAcentral describes it as "SSU rRNA". It matches the Rfam family "Eukaryotic small subunit ribosomal RNA", at positions 294 to 1746 of the family's 1831-position model. The record is from RNAcentral. Lineage: Eukaryota; Metazoa; Arthropoda; Insecta; Hemiptera; Miridae.